Molecule: ribosomal RNA, 418 nt
Filed under: uncultured bacterium
Lineage: Bacteria
Description: bacterial SSU rRNA
Rfam family: Bacterial small subunit ribosomal RNA
Source: RNAcentral
AGGAAUAUUGGUCAAUGGGCGAGAGCCUGAACCAGCCAAGUCGCGUGAGGGAGUACUGCCCUAUGGGUUGUAAACCUCUUUUGUCGGGGAGCAAAAGCCGGACGUGUCCGGCUGUGAGAGUACCCGAAGAAAAAGCAUCGGCUAACUCCGUGCCAGCAGCCGCGGUAAUACGGAGGAUGCGAGCGUUAUCCGGAUUUAUUGGGUUUAAAGGGUGCGCAGGCGGAUUUUUAAGUCAGCGGUCAAAUCGUGGGGCUCAACCCCAUCCAGCCGUUGAAACUGGGGAUCUAGAGUGUGCGAGAGGUAUGCGGAAUGCGUGGUGUAGCGGUGAAAUGCAUAGAUAUCACGCAGAACCCCGAUUGCGAAGGCAGCAUACCGGUGCACAACUGACGCUCAGGCACGAAAGCGUGGGUAUCGAACA